Molecule: ribosomal RNA, 2916 nt
Filed under: Vibrio parahaemolyticus
Lineage: Bacteria; Pseudomonadati; Pseudomonadota; Gammaproteobacteria; Vibrionales; Vibrionaceae
Description: 23S ribosomal RNA
Rfam family: Bacterial large subunit ribosomal RNA
Source: RNAcentral
GUUGUAUGGUUAAGUGACUAAGCGUACACGGUGGAUGCCUUGGCAGUCAGAGGCGAUGAAAGACGUAGUAACUUGCGAUAAGCCCAGAUUAGGUAGUAACAACCAUUUGAGUCUGGGAUUUCUGAAUGGGGAAACCCACGUGCAUAAGCACGUAUCCUUACCUGAAUACAUAGGGUAAGGAGGCGAACCGGGGGAACUGAAACAUCUAAGUACCCCGAGGAAAAGAAAUCAACCGAGAUUCCGAAAGUAGCGGCGAGCGAAAUUGGACUAGCCCUUAAGCUUUACACGCGUUAGACGAACGGUCUGGAAAGUCCGACGAUACAGGGUGAUAGUCCCGUAGUUGACGACGUGUGUUCAGUGAAAUCGAGUAGGGCGGGACACGUGAUAUCCUGUCUGAAUAUGGGGGGACCAUCCUCCAAGGCUAAAUACUACUGACUGACCGAUAGUGAACCAGUACCGUGAGGGAAAGGCGAAAAGAACCCCUGUGAGGGGAGUGAAAUAGAACCUGAAACCGUGUACGUACAAGCAGUAGGAGCAGGCUUUGUCCUGUGACUGCGUACCUUUUGUAUAAUGGGUCAGCGACUUAUAUUCAGUGGCAAGGUUAACCAUCUAGGGGAGCCGUAGGGAAACCGAGUCUUAACUGGGCGUUCAGUCUCUGGAUAUAGACCCGAAACCAGGUGAUCUAGCCAUGGGCAGGUUGAAGGUUGAGUAACAUCAACUGGAGGACCGAACCGACUAAUGUUGAAAAAUUAGCGGAUGACUUGUGGCUAGGGGUGAAAGGCCAAUCAAACCUGGAGAUAGCUGGUUCUCCCCGAAAGCUAUUUAGGUAGCGCCUCGGACGAAUACUACUGGGGGUAGAGCACUGUUAAGGCUAGGGGGUCAUCCCGACUUACCAACCCUUUGCAAACUCCGAAUACCAGUAAGUACUAUCCGGGAGACACACGGCGGGUGCUAACGUCCGUCGUGGAGAGGGAAACAACCCAGACCGCCAGCUAAGGUCCCAAAUUACUACUAAGUGGGAAACGAUGUGGGAAGGCUCAGACAGCCAGGAUGUUGGCUUAGAAGCAGCCAUCAUUUAAAGAAAGCGUAAUAGCUCACUGGUCGAGUCGGCCUGCGCGGAAGAUGUAACGGGGCUAAGUAGUAAACCGAAGCUGCGGCAAUGUGCUUUUGCACAUUGGGUAGGGGAGCGUUCUGUAAGCGGUUGAAGGUGUGUGGUAACGCAUGCUGGACGUAUCAGAAGUGCGAAUGCUGACAUGAGUAACGAUAAAGGGGGUGAAAAACCUCCUCGCCGGAAGACCAAGGGUUCCUGUCCAACGUUAAUCGGGGCAGGGUAAGUCGACCCCUAAGGCGAGGCCGAAAGGCGUAGUCGAUGGGAAACGGGUUAAUAUUCCCGUACUUCUUACAAUUGCGAUGGGGGGACGGAGAAGGCUAGGUGGGCCUGGCGACGGUUGUCCAGGUUCAAGUGCGUAGGCUUAAGAGUUAGGUAAAUCCGGCUCUUUUUAAGGCUGAGACACGACGUCGAGCACCUACGGGUGUGAAGUCAUUGAUGCCAUGCUUCCAGGAAAAGCCUCUAAGCUUCAGAUUGUAAGGAAUCGUACCCCAAACCGACACAGGUGGUCGGGUAGAGAAUACCAAGGCGCUUGAGAGAACUCGGGUGAAGGAACUAGGCAAAAUGGUACCGUAACUUCGGGAGAAGGUACGCUCUCGACGGUGAAGUCCCUCGCGGAUGGAGCUAUUGAGAGUCGCAGAUACCAGGUGGCUGCAACUGUUUAUUAAAAACACAGCACUGUGCAAAAUCGUAAGAUGACGUAUACGGUGUGACGCCUGCCCGGUGCCGGAAGGUUAAUUGAUGGGGUUAGACUUCGGUCGAAGCUCUUGAUCGAAGCCCCGGUAAACGGCGGCCGUAACUAUAACGGUCCUAAGGUAGCGAAAUUCCUUGUCGGGUAAGUUCCGACCUGCACGAAUGGCGUAAUGAUGGCCACGCUGUCUCCACCCGAGACUCAGUGAAAUUGAAAUCGCUGUGAAGAUGCAGUGUACCCGCGGCUAGACGGAAAGACCCCGUGAACCUUUACUACAGCUUGGCACUGAACAUUGACCCUACAUGUGUAGGAUAGGUGGGAGGCUUUGAAGCAGGUACGCCAGUAUCUGUGGAGCCGUCCUUGAAAUACCACCCUUGUAGUGUUGAUGUUCUAACGUCGACCCCUUAUCGGGGUUGCGGACAGUGCCUGGUGGGUAGUUUGACUGGGGCGGUCUCCUCCCAAAGAGUAACGGAGGAGCACGAAGGUGGGCUAAUCACGGUUGGACAUCGUGAGGUUAGUGCAAUGGCAUAAGCCCGCUUGACUGCGAGAAUGACAAUUCGAGCAGGUGCGAAAGCAGGUCAUAGUGAUCCGGUGGUUCUGAAUGGAAGGGCCAUCGCUCAACGGAUAAAAGGUACUCCGGGGAUAACAGGCUGAUACCGCCCAAGAGUUCAUAUCGACGGCGGUGUUUGGCACCUCGAUGUCGGCUCAUCACAUCCUGGGGCUGAAGUCGGUCCCAAGGGUAUGGCUGUUCGCCAUUUAAAGUGGUACGCGAGCUGGGUUUAGAACGUCGUGAGACAGUUCGGUCCCUAUCUGCCGUGGGCGUUGGAAGAUUGAAGGGGGCUGCUCCUAGUACGAGAGGACCGGAGUGGACGAACCUCUGGUGUUCGGGUUGUGUCGCCAGACGCAUUGCCCGGUAGCUAAGUUCGGAAUCGAUAACCGCUGAAAGCAUCUAAGCGGGAAGCGAGCCCUGAGAUGAGUCUUCCCUGAUACUUUAAGUAUCCUAAAGGGUUGUCGGAGACUACGACGUUGAUAGGUCAGGUGUGUAAGUGCUGUGAGGCAUUGAGCUAACUGAUACUAAUUGCCCGUGAGGCUUAACCAUACAACACCCAAGGGGUUU